UACCACAACUCACAGCGAGAUAACUCCCACGAGGAGACAACUCGCUCGGUCCUACAAACCCGUUGCGAGACAACUCCCAUGAGGAGCCAACUCCAUCGGUAUUACGAAUCCACAGCGAGACAACUCCCACGAGGAGCCAACUCGCUCGGAACUACAACUCGUAGCGAGACAACUCCCACGAGGAGAUAACUCGCACGGUC
This 200-nucleotide long non-coding RNA is filed under the name Erythranthe guttata (spotted monkey flower). Its description in RNAcentral is "long non-coding RNA (EGUT_LNC000717)". The record is from RNAcentral. Lineage: Eukaryota; Viridiplantae; Streptophyta; Magnoliopsida; Lamiales; Phrymaceae.